GUAGCUCUAGGUGUUUGCUUAGGCUAAGAAAAGGCUGAAGGAAGAUAUUAGUUUUCAUGUUAAAAGCUAGUUUGCAAUUUUGGGAGCUUUUUUGAUUGCAGGGGACGCAAUGAGGUCUGGUAUCCCUACACAAGCCUUUGCGCUGUGGAGCCCUGAAGAGCAGCACUACCUGCCAGCUUUUGAUCUUGUCCCAGAGGUGCCGGAACUCAUCAAAGUUGAUCUUUCCUGAGCCGUCUGUCUGUGAUGCAAGUAUUCAGCUCCCAAAGGAAAUUUGGUGCAAGAAAACUUAAAUUUUCCAUCUUUUGAAUCUGUGAAGAAGUUGGAUUAGGUGCUGCUGUGUCUUAGCUGCUCUGCAGAGGUGUGGGUUGGUCAUGUACUCACAUCCCCUGCGAUCUGUCGGAAAAUAUUCCUGAACUGUGUUUCCUCUUCACUCUUCUCACGAGCUUUUGCUGAAGAACGCUGGAAAGAUACAAGUGAAGGAUAUAUGCAAUGUUAGCUUUGCAGGAAAAUGAAAGGGUCUGGGUGGUUCAUCCCCUUCACACAAAUAAGCCUCUCAGUGACAGUGCAGCUCUUCAGAGGAACACAUUAUCCUCAUGGACUUCUCCCCUUUCUUUCAUUAAAUGUACUCCUUGAUGAGCCUGCUGCUCUAAAUGAUUACAUUCACCAACGGAUCUUUAA
This is a non-coding RNA of Coturnix japonica (Japanese quail), 678 nucleotides long. The record is from RefSeq and is a predicted model, not a curated record. NCBI's taxonomy places the organism in Eukaryota, Metazoa, Chordata, Aves, Galliformes, Phasianidae.